Balaenoptera ricei (Rice's whale) is the source of this 805-nucleotide long non-coding RNA. RefSeq lists it as uncharacterized. The record is from RefSeq and is a predicted model, not a curated record. Lineage: Eukaryota; Metazoa; Chordata; Mammalia; Artiodactyla; Balaenopteridae. The transcript has 3 exons.
UUUGAGGAGGCGGCCAACCCGCGAGGAAGGUGAGAGGGCUGGGCUGGGCCCUGGGCACGGCUUCAGGUCCGUCACACCGUCUGCGUGGGAGCUAAGCGCCGGCAAUGCAGGGGCUCCGGCCCAGCGACCCCACAGAAGCUGAGGCACCCUCUUCUCCACCCCUCCCCCACCAGGUCCCUAAUACCACGCGAGAAGCCGCCUCUCCCCGGGACUGGGAAUCUGCUGCUCGGCCCGGACACACGUUCAGUCCUGGGAAUCAGUCCAGGAUUCUAAUUCCCUAGUCCCUGUCAGCCCCGCCGGGCCUGAGUCGAGCCGUUCGGCCAUCCCGGCGGGGACUGGGAAAACAUAAAAACUCCCUUUACCUGUGGCAGCUCCUUUACUCUUCUUCUUCUUCCGUCUUUUUUUCUUGGCCGCCUCCUCAGCCGUAGAGGCAGCUCCCUCCUCCCUGUCGUCUGGAUCCAGGUCGCCAUUCAGGUGGCUCCCGCAGGACGCUGCCUCCUCCACACCCGCCAUGUUGCCCGAGAGAGCGCGAGGAACUAAGACAGGGCGGCAAGGGCCCGCUCCUUCUUCACCCACCUACACCAGCGACGCCGGAAGCUGCUCUCGAUGUGUUGUUUGGAUUCCUUUCGAUUGAUCAAAUACAACAUCAUCUCUGCAUCUAAAUUUACUGGCAGCAAAAGUCCACUUCUGGUUCAAAGGCACAAUGUCAUCUCAGGAAUUUUUUUGGAAUUUUUCAGUUCAACAAAUGUUUAUUGAACGCUCUGCGCCAAGCACAGUGUUGGGAACUGAGGAUACAAAAAUAAAG